This 492-nucleotide ribosomal RNA is filed under the name uncultured bacterium. RNAcentral describes it as "partial 16S ribosomal RNA". It matches the Rfam family "Bacterial small subunit ribosomal RNA", at positions 36 to 507 of the family's 1533-position model. The record is from RNAcentral.
AUUUCCCUCUUUCUUCAGGCCUAACACAUGCAAGUCGAACGGCAGCACAGUAGGUGGUGGCGCUUACGGGAGGCGCGUGGCGGACGGGCGCGGUAUACUCCGGAAUCUACUUUUUCGCGGGUGCUAACGUCGGAUAACUCCUGCUAGUACCGCAUACGUCCUACGGGUGACCGCCGGGGAUCUUGGGACCUUGCGCGUUAGAUCGCGCCGCAGUCGGAUUAGCUAGUGGGCGGGGUCAAGGCCCACCAAGGCGACGAUCCGUAGCUGGUCUGAGAGGAUGAUCAGCCACACUGGAACUGAGACACGGUCCAGACUCCUACGGGAGGCAGCAGUGGGGAAUAUUGGACAAUGGGCGCAAGCCUGAUCCAGCCAUACCGCGUGGGUGAAGAAGGCCUUCGGGUUGUAAAACCCUUUUGUUGGGAAAGAAAAGCAGCAGGUUAAUACCCCGCUGUUCUGACGGUACCCAAAGAAUAAGCACCGGCUAACUUCGUG